AUUGAACGCUGGCGGCAUGCCUUACACAUGCAAGUCGAACGGCAGCAUGAUCUAGCUUGCUAGAUUGAUGGCGAGUGGCGAACGGGUGAGUAAUACAUCGGAACGUGCCCUGUAGUGGGGGAUAACUAGUCGAAAGAUUAGCUAAUACCGCAUACGACCUGAGGGUGAAAGUGGGGGACCGCAAGGCCUCAUGCUAUAGGAGCGGCCGAUGUCUGAUUAGCUAGUUGGUGAGGUAAAGGCUCACCAAGGCGACGAUCAGUAGCUGGUCUGAGAGGACGAUCAGCCACACUGGGACUGAGACACGGCCCAGACUCCUACGGGAGGCAGCAGUGGGGAAUUUUGGACAAUGGGCGAAAGCCUGAUCCAGCAAUGCCGGGUGUGUGAAGAAGGCCUUCGGGUUGUAAAGCACUUUUGUCCGGAAAGAAAUGGCUCUGGUUAAUACCUGGGGUCGAUGACGGUACCGGAAGAAUAAGGACCGGCUAACUACGUG
This 490-nucleotide ribosomal RNA is filed under the name uncultured bacterium. RNAcentral describes it as "partial 16S ribosomal RNA". It matches the Rfam family "Bacterial small subunit ribosomal RNA", at positions 30 to 507 of the family's 1533-position model. The record is from RNAcentral.